CCUACGGGUGGCUGCAGUGGGGGAUAUUGGACAAUGGGGGAAACCCUGAUCCAGCGACGCCGCGUGAGUGAAGAAGUAUUUCGGUAUGUAAAGCUCUAUCAGCAGGGAAGAAAGAAAUGACGGUACCUGAAGAAAAAGCAUCGGCUAACUCCGUGCCAGUAGCCGCGGUAAUACGGGGGAUGCGAGCGUUAUCCGGAUUUAUUGGGUUUAAAGGGUGCGCAGGCGGAGGCACAAGUCAGCGGUAAAAUCGCGGGGCUCAACCCCGCUCCGCCGUUGAAACUGUGUCCCUUGAGUGCGCGAAGGGUAGGCGGAAUGCGUGGUGUAGCGGUGAAAUGCAUAGAUAUCACGCAGAACUCCGAUCGCGAAGGCAGCCUACCGGCGCGCAACUGACGCUCAUGCACGAAAGCGUGGGUAUCGAACAGGAUUAGAUACCCCAGUAGUC
Molecule: ribosomal RNA, 442 nt
Filed under: uncultured bacterium
Lineage: Bacteria
Description: partial 16S ribosomal RNA
Rfam family: Bacterial small subunit ribosomal RNA
Source: RNAcentral